RNAcentral lists this ribosomal RNA (419 nucleotides) under Crispatotrochus rugosus. RNAcentral's name for it is "partial 16S ribosomal RNA". It matches the Rfam family "Bacterial large subunit ribosomal RNA", at positions 1872 to 2473 of the family's 2925-position model. Lineage: Eukaryota; Metazoa; Cnidaria; Anthozoa; Scleractinia; Caryophylliidae. The record is from RNAcentral.
GUAUCUAAAAAAGUUUGUUUUGCUCACUAAUAAUGACAAUUAAAUGGCCGCGGUAACACUGACUGUGAAAAUGUAGCGCAAUCAAUUGUCAAUUAAUUGUUGACCGGUAUGAAUGGUGUCACGAAAGUUCUUCUGUUUUAAAAAAACACUCAAGGAAAUUGAAUUUGUAGUGAAGAUGCUACAUUAAAGUGGUUAGACGAGAAGUCCCCAUGGAGCUUUACUGAAAGCCUAAAAGAAAUUUUUUUCAUUUAUUUAUCGGCUAGACAGUUUUGUUGGGGUGAUAGUUUUUUAAAAAGUAACGAAAACGAACUAUGACGCAUGUUUCACUCUGAAAACUGGAAGAGACAUUUUGGGUGUGUUUUAUGAUCUAUUGUUUUGAAUGAAAAAGAUAAUGAAAGCAGAUAAAAGUUACCCUGGGU